RNAcentral lists this ribosomal RNA (163 nucleotides) under Amelanchier aff. bartramiana KC-2017. RNAcentral describes it as "5.8S ribosomal RNA". It matches the Rfam family "5.8S ribosomal RNA". Rfam says of the family: 5.8S ribosomal RNA (5.8S rRNA) is a component of the large subunit of the eukaryotic ribosome. It is transcribed by RNA polymerase I as part of the 45S precursor that also contains 18S and 28S rRNA. The record is from RNAcentral. Lineage: Eukaryota; Viridiplantae; Streptophyta; Magnoliopsida; Rosales; Rosaceae.
AAGCGACUCUCGGCAACGGAUAUCUCGGCUCUCGCAUCGAUGAAGAACGUAGCGAAAUGCGAUACUUGGUGUGAAUUGCAGAAUCCCGUGAACCAUCGAGUCUUUGAACGCAAGUUGCGCCCGAAGCCUUUAGGCCGAGGGCACGCCUGCCUGGGCGUCACAC